ACUAUGAGGACUGAGCUUCCUCUCCCCAGGACCCGCAUGGGAGAGACCGCGGCUUCGAGACACCUGGGGACACCUGGGGACACCUGGGGCGGCGUCCGCGGUGAGGACUGGGAGACGCUGCUGCAUCUCCGGGACACCACUUGGGGCCGAGGCCAAGGGAUUCUCCACGGCUGCCAUUAGGGGGCCCGGCCAAACCCGGAGCGCCACAGUAGAACUGCGUCUGAUCCGUACAGCGGCAUCCCUGGGUGUGAGGACUGUGAGGACGGAGUUUUCUCUCCUCAGGACCCACCCAGGAGGGGCCAUGGCUUCGAGACACCUGAGGACACCUGGGGCCACGUCCGCGAUGAGGACAUCUCUGGGACACCUGGGGCUGCAUCUCCGGGACACCUGGGGCUGACCCUGGUACGGGGAAAGGAGGAGGAACACAGAGACGCCCUCGUGAGGUCGGGGACCAGCAGGCACCACAGUCUAAGGCCAAUGAAACAGGCGCCCCUAGAUGAGUGCUCGGUGUUUGUUUUGUUUUGUUUUCUUUUGAGAAGGAGUUUCGCUCUUGCUCCCCAGGCUGGAGUGCGAUGUCGCGAUCUCGACUCACUGCAACCUCUGCCUCCCGGGUUCAAGCGAUUCUCCUGCCUCAGCCUCCCGAGUAGCUGGGAUUACAGUCAUGCGCCAUCACGCCCGGCUAAUUUUGUAGUUUUAGUAGAGACGGUGUUUCUCCAUGUUGAUCAGGCUGGUCUCGAACUCCUGAUCUCAGGUGAUCCACCCACCUCGGCCUCCCAAAGUGCUGGAAUUACAGGCGUGACCCACUGGGCCCGGCCAGUGCUUUGUGUUUUAAGGCUCUUUUGUUAACGCAGUGGAAACAACACAGGAAAUGGAAAAGCAGGCACAUUAUCAUUCUCAGGCCACUGCAUUUAGCCUGGGCGACAGAGCGAGACCUUGUCUCAAAAAACAAAAACAAAUGAAAACAAAAACAAACCAUUUUGUGUGUCUAAUGGAAGUGACCUCGUCAACAACAGUCUUUUGUUGAGAAAGUCUGUU
This 1035-nucleotide long non-coding RNA is filed under the name Homo sapiens (human). RNAcentral's name for it is "HSALNT0383908". The record is from RNAcentral. Lineage: Eukaryota; Metazoa; Chordata; Mammalia; Primates; Hominidae.